This 355-nucleotide ribosomal RNA is filed under the name uncultured bacterium. Its description in RNAcentral is "bacterial SSU rRNA". It matches the Rfam family "Bacterial small subunit ribosomal RNA", at positions 28 to 380 of the family's 1533-position model. The record is from RNAcentral.
GAUGAACGCUAGCGGCAGGCUUAAUACAUGCAAGUCGUGGGGCAGCGCAGGUAGCAAUACUGGGCGGCGAUCGGCAAACGGGUGCGGAACACGUACACAACCUUCCGAGAAGUGGGGAAUAGCCCAGAGAAAUUUGGAUUAAUACCCCGUAACAUAACGAUGUGGCAUCACAUUGUUAUUAUAGCUUCGGCGCUUCUUGAUGGGUGUGCGGCUGAUUAGAUAGUUGGCGGGGUAACGGCCCACCAAGUCUACGAUCAGUAGCUGAUGUGAGAGCAUGAUCAGCCACACGGGCACUGAGACACGGGCCCGACUCCUACGGGAGGCAGCAGUAAGGAAUAUUGGUCAAUAGGACGGC